CCUACGGGAGGCAGCAGUAGGGAAUUUUCCACAAUGGGCGAAAGCCUGAUGGAGCAACGCCGCGUGGGUGAAGAAGGUCUUCGGAUCGUAAAACCCUGUUGUUAGAGAAGAAAGUGCGUGAGAGUAACUGUUCACGUUUCGACGGUAUCUAACCAGAAAGCCACGGCUAACUACGUGCCAGCAGCCGCGGUAAUACGUAGGUGGCAAGCGUUAUCCGGAUUUAUUGGGCGUAAAGGGAACGCAGGCGGUCUUUUAAGUCUGAUGUGAAAGCCUUCGGCUUAACCGGAGUAGUGCAUUGGAAACUGGGAGACUUGAGUGCAGAAGAGGAGAGUGGAAUUCCAGGUGUAGGAGUGAAAUCCGUAGAUAUCUGGAGGAACAUCAGUGGCGAAGGCGACUAUCUGGCACAUAACUGACGCUGAGGAGCGAAAGCGUGGGUAGCAAACAGGAUUAGAUACCCUUGUAGUC
RNAcentral lists this ribosomal RNA (465 nucleotides) under uncultured bacterium. RNAcentral describes it as "partial 16S ribosomal RNA". It matches the Rfam family "Bacterial small subunit ribosomal RNA", at positions 338 to 795 of the family's 1533-position model. The record is from RNAcentral.